CAGUAGGGAGGAAGGUAGUGUAGUUAACACCUGCAUUAUUUGACGUUACCUACAGAAGAAGCACCGGCUAACUCCGUGCCAGCAGCCGCGGUAAUACGGAGGGUGCGAGCGUUAAUCGGAAUUACUGGGCGUAAAGCGCAUGCAGGCGGCCUGUUAAGUCAGAUGUGAAAGACCCGGGGCGUUAACCUCGGAAUUGCAUUUGAAACUGGCAGGCUAGAGUCUUGUAGAGGGGGGUAGGAAUUUCAGGUGUAGCGGUGAAAUAGCGUAGAGAUCUGAAGGAAUACCAGUGGCGAAGGCGGCCCCCUGGACAAAGACUGACGCUCAGAUGCGAAAGCGUGGGGAGCAAACAGGAUUAGAUACCCUGGUAG
This 368-nucleotide ribosomal RNA is filed under the name uncultured bacterium. Its description in RNAcentral is "bacterial SSU rRNA". It matches the Rfam family "Bacterial small subunit ribosomal RNA", at positions 434 to 793 of the family's 1533-position model. The record is from RNAcentral.